RNAcentral lists this long non-coding RNA (1829 nucleotides) under Equus asinus (donkey). RNAcentral describes it as "lncRNA (ENSEASG00005037876.1)". The record is from RNAcentral. Lineage: Eukaryota; Metazoa; Chordata; Mammalia; Perissodactyla; Equidae.
GCCCAAUCUCGGGAUUGGCAAAGUCAAACGUUUACUAGGAAAUUCAGCCAAGCGACGGAGAUUAACGCGCUUGAUCAUCUUCCCAAAGGGCGAGUUAUUUUCAGAAAACCAGACUUGAAUACGCACCGAAUUUCACACUCCGCCCCACAGUUUCUUUAAAGUAAAUAAGUGUCUAAAAUGAUGACAGUAAAACCUGUGGUUUCACAUCGUGAGUGUCUGCAAAGUCUCAUAUUCUCUUGGUGAAAUUUCCUGGCAGAAGCAAAGCUUUCCCGAGGAGGGGAGGAGGACAGGCCGUCUGGCUCCUGACUGCACGUGUGUCUGGGAAUAUUAGGAUCAUUUUCAACUGCCCAUCUUUAGCCCAGAGCUACUUUUUAUUCUUUCUUAAGAGAAAAAAACAUUCCAAGAAGCGAAAAAGUAUAGUCAAAUCUUAUCCUCUGUGCAAGGGGGCAAAAUCAACGCGUCUUCCCCACUUUCCUCCGGGAACGAACCACAGGAGAUAUGUCUCAUCUUCAAGCAGUGCUGUGCUGGCAAACCAGCUCUUGAGAGGAAGACCAAAAUCCUGAUCUGUAGCAUUUGCCAAUUUCCGUGGUAUAAAUAUUCCUACCAUGGCUCAUUUGAAGGCAUCCAGAGAUUACCACCAGCUCCCCAAAUUCCUGAAUGUUUAACAAUUAGUUCUCAGAAAAUGGGAUAAGCCAGCUUCCGCUUACCAGUCUCUUGAAGAAAAGUAUCAUUAUUGGCCACAACAUGCAUUAUUCGUGCAGUGUAUGUAGAUAGCUCUACCAGGCAUUGAUAAAGUCGCAAUGGAAAAGAUAAACAAUAGAAAUGAUCUCUUCCAUUAAGAAACUUACAAUUGAACAAAAGGAAAAAAACCCACAACAACGAAGCACUGCAAAGACACAGCUGGACAGAGCCCUCUUUUUCUGCUACAUCAGUUUGAAAUAGUCUCUCCCUUCUGGACACAACUUUUCAGACAGUCAGGGUCUCCAGGAGAGGCCAGGCAGUGCAACCAAGAUGGUGCCAGGCAUUGAGACCACAUGGUUUGGGGAUGGGGGGGAGAACCAAGCGUGUCCGGCAUGGGAUCGAGGAGAUAUGGAGGAACAAGAAGCACUUUACAAAUCCAAGGGCUCCCAAGGGGGGUGUCACUCGAAAGUUUGUACAAGUGAUUUUCUCCUGUUGCAAAGCGGUGAACUAGAUCUACUGGGUGUGAGCCACAAGGAAGCAGAUCCCUGUCCACCCGAGGAAAUCUUUCCAAAAACGGGAGACGACCUCAUGACACAGGUAUUAGCUACUCCUUCAGAGAUGAGGAAACCGAGGCUUGGAGAGGCCACGUAACUUCCCCGAGGUCCUCCACGGCAGAAGCAGAAUGCAAACCGCAUCUCCUAAUUCAAGUGUUUUUUCUCAGAAUGAUUUUAGAACGUGCCGCGUGGAAAGGCGAACAGCUGGUUAAAGAAGCUGAAGGAUGUGCUUCUGCCAGGAGCCCCUGGGCCAGGCACCAUCCCAGGCACUGGACUAGGGGUUUGAGCUGGACACAGAGUCCAUUCUGUGCUACUUCAGGUUUCUAAAUAAGUAAAAGAGUGUUGUCCCAGAGAUGGUCAUAAUUUACCUACUUAGACACCCUGAGGGGGAAACUUAGAGUCAGAAAUCAUACAUAUGAAUGGAGUUUGCAGACCACCUUGGACAUCUUCCCUCUACAGAAGAGGACGGGGUGAGUCUACCAAGGACGGCUCAGAACAAAAGUAUCCCGCUCCUGGGGAAAUGUCGUGGUAAAUGCUCUCUAUGUAGUGGCACGUAUUUUUCAUUCAAAGCUCAUAGAACAUAGCUUGGGGGGA